RNAcentral lists this non-coding RNA (29 nucleotides) under Mus musculus (house mouse). Lineage: Eukaryota; Metazoa; Chordata; Mammalia; Rodentia; Muridae. The record is from RNAcentral.
UAUCAGGGCUCUCGAAUUUAUCCAUCCUC